Molecule: small RNA, 678 nt
Filed under: Pongo abelii (Sumatran orangutan)
Lineage: Eukaryota; Metazoa; Chordata; Mammalia; Primates; Hominidae
Description: processed transcript
Source: RNAcentral
ACGCCCUGCCCAACAGAGGCCACAGUCCCCUGGGGUCUGGAGACGCAGUUUCCUGUUAAUGACAAUAAAUCCCUGCUCCCCCUGCCUCAGACAUCUACGCAGCGAAAUCGAGCCUGGCCUUGAGGGACCACACCGCGAGGGAAGAUGCGUGCGCCCAUUACACUGGGCCAUCUACGUUGGCGAUGGAUAUGUGGUUCAUCUGGCCCCUCCAAGUGAGGUCGCAGGAGCUGGUGCAGCCAGUGUCAUGUCCGCCCUGACUGACAAGGCCAUCGUGAAGAAGGAAUUGCUGUAUGACGUGGCCGGGAGUGACAAGUACCAAGUCAACAACAAACACGAUGACAAGUACUCGCCGCUGCCCUGCAGCAAAAUCAUCCAGCGGGCGGAGGAGCUGGUGGGGCAGGAGGUGCUCUACAAGCUGACCAGCGAGAACUGCGAGCACUUUGUGAAUGAGCUGCGCUAUGGAGUCGCCCGCAGUGACCAGGUCAGAGAUGUCAUCAUCGCUGCAAGCGUUGCAGGAAUGGGCUUGGCAGCCAUGAGCCUUAUUGGAGUCAUGUUCUCAAGAAACAAGCGACAAAAGCAAUAACUGAAAAAGACUGUCCUGUCAGCGAUGACUUUAUACAUCAAGGGGGUCUUGUUUUGCUAGACAGUUUGGGGUUUGGUUUGUGGAUUUCAUUGUGA